This 492-nucleotide ribosomal RNA is filed under the name uncultured bacterium. RNAcentral describes it as "partial 16S ribosomal RNA". It matches the Rfam family "Bacterial small subunit ribosomal RNA", at positions 29 to 507 of the family's 1533-position model. The record is from RNAcentral.
AGUGAACGCUGGCGGUAGGCCUAACACAUGCAAGUCGAACGGCAGCACAGUAAGAGCUUGCUCUUACGGGUGGCGAGUGGCGGACGGGUGAGGAAUACAUCGGAAUCUACUUUUUCGUGGGGGAUAACGUAGGGAAACUUACGCUAAUACCGCAUACGACUUACGGGUGAAAGCAGGGGAUCUUCGGACCUUGCGCGAUUGAAUGAGCCGAUGUCGGAUUAGCUAGUUGGCGGGGUAAAGGCCCACCAAGGCGACGAUCCGUAGCUGGUCUGAGAGGAUGAUCAGCCACACUGGAACUGAGACACGGUCCAGACUCCUACGGGAGGCAGCAGUGGGGAAUGUUGGACAAUGGGCGCAAGCCUGAUCCAGCCAUACCGCGUGGGUGAAGAAGGCCUUCGGGUUGUAAAGCCCUUUUGUUGGGAAAGAAAAGCAGCAGGUUAAUACCCCGCUGUUCUGACGGUACCCAAAGAAUAAGCACCGGCUAACUUCGUG